Molecule: ribosomal RNA, 780 nt
Filed under: Amblydorylaimus isokaryon
Lineage: Eukaryota; Metazoa; Nematoda; Enoplea; Dorylaimida; Qudsianematidae
Description: eukaryotic LSU rRNA
Rfam family: Eukaryotic large subunit ribosomal RNA
Source: RNAcentral
GAAAGUUGAAAAGAACUUUGAAGAGAGAGUUCAAAAGGGCGUGAAACCGCUUAGAAGAAAACGGACGGAGCCGUCGGGAGCCUUCGGGAAUCAGUCGUACGAUAAGCGAACGUAUCGCGUUUCGGAGCGCAAGUCCGAACGCGGUAUGAUAGUAGCAUUCGUUCGGCGCAUUUCUCGAAGGUAAGCACCGCGACCGAUACGAAAGGUCGACGAAGCGUUUUGAUUGAGGUCGAGUCCUCUCGCGGGGACUCGUAACCAGUCGAUUCGUUUUAAGUCGUCGAACCGCAGUAUGUAUCGAGCGCUAAAGUAAAAUAUACGUCGGCCGUAAAGCUCACUCGAGUAGCGGAUAGUCGGUCAAUAGCGUUUUUACCUGCUCGCAGGUAUUAAUCUAUUCGGUCCGGCUUAGAAGCUAUCGGUGAAAUUUCGACGUAUAGGCGUCAGCGGUGUCAGUGUCGGCCACCCAUCCGACCCGUCUUGAAACACGGACCAAGGAGUCUAACAUAUGCGCGAGCUAAUGGGUGGAAAACCCAAAGGCGCAAUAAAAGUAAACGCUGUUUCGGACAGCUAAGGUACGAUCCUAGAGUCCACGCGACUAUAGGCGCAGUACCGUCCCGUCCCGACCGCAUAUCGGUAGGGCGGAGAUAGAGUGCAUACGUUGGGACCCGAAAGAUGGUGAACUAUGCCUGAGCAGAGCGAAGCCAGAGGAAACUCUGGUGGAGGUUCGUAGCGGUUCUGACGUGCAAAUCGAUCGUCAGACUUGGGUAUAGGGGCGAAAGACAU